UGGAGAGUUUGAUCCUGGCUCAGAUUGAACGCUGGCGGCAGGCCUAACACAUGCAAGUCGAGCGGUAGAGAGGUGCUUGCACCUCUUGAGAGCGGCGGACGGGUGAGUAAUGCCUAGGAAUCUGCCUGGUAGUGGGGGAUAACGUUCGGAAACGAACGCUAAUACCGCAUACGUCCUACGGGAGAAAGCAGGGGACCUUCGGGCCUUGCGCUAUCAGAUGAGCCUAGGUCGGAUUAGCUAGUUGGUGAGGUAAUGGCUCACCAAGGCGACGAUCCGUAACUGGUCUGAGAGGAUGAUCAGUCACACUGGAACUGAGACACGGUCCAGACUCCUACGGGAGGCAGCAGUGGGGAAUAUUGGACAAUGGGCGAAAGCCUGAUCCAGCCAUGCCGCGUGUGUGAAGAAGGUCUUCGGAUUGUAAAGCACUUUAAGUUGGGAGGAAGGGUUGUAGAUUAAUACUCUGCAAUUUUGACGUUACCGACAGAAUAAGCACCGGCUAACUCUGUGCCAGCAGCCGCGGUA
RNAcentral lists this ribosomal RNA (522 nucleotides) under Pseudomonas sp. UW3. RNAcentral describes it as "bacterial SSU rRNA". It matches the Rfam family "Bacterial small subunit ribosomal RNA", at positions 1 to 522 of the family's 1533-position model. The record is from RNAcentral. Lineage: Bacteria; Pseudomonadati; Pseudomonadota; Gammaproteobacteria; Pseudomonadales; Pseudomonadaceae.